AGGGGGUGGGUGGGGGGAAGGAAAAGGAGCGGCACAGCCGCUUCCAUCAUCUCUCGGUUCUCCGUUCCCCGCCUGCCGCUCUCCAGCCCCGCACGGCGCGUAUCCCGCAGCCCCUCCGAGCCCCCCCCGCCCGCAGCCUCCCCUUCCCCGGGUGCUUUUCUCCCUCCUCCCUCCCCUCCCCGCCCGCAUUUCCUCCCUGCACCUUUAAGAAGCACAUUGCUCGCCGGUGGGAUGGUGUGUGCUAAAGCUGCACAGAGGAAGUUACGCAGCCCGGAUCAGGCACGGAGAUAAAAGCUCCGAUUGUGAUUGAAAGUGAUAGCAAACGGGAUUUCAGCCUCGGCAUUAACUUGCGAGGGGAGCCGGGCACCGCACGGAGCUCCCGGCCGCCCGCCCUUGGGGCCCGGCCCCAGAGUUGGCCGCUCCGCGGGAGCCCCGCGCCGCAGAGCCCCCCGGUGCAGCCCGCUAAUGAACUCCCCCUUCACUCUGACCAUGAGAGAGGGACGAGACCUCAGGUAGCAGCGUGGCUCGCAGCUGAAGGCUUGGGAACUCAAUGCUCCAUUGCAAAAAGGCGCAGACGGGCGGACAGACAGACAAACUGCACGCGGUGCCUCCCAGCGCUGCAGGAGCAGAGGACGGCACUGCCCACUGCGCAGACCCCACCGAUGCCACCACCCAACACAGCAGCUCCAACAUCAUCGCCCUUUGGGAGAAGGGGACUCUAGCCCCAAAUCACCUCUCUGCCAGCUCCCAGAUGCUACAGUAAUUUGACGCAUUAAUGUCCCAAAGCCCCAAUAAUUAUCAAAGCAGACCACGGUUUAAGGCGCUCUACCCAGGGACGCGUUUGCAGCAGACACGAAGGUCGAGGAACACCUGAUCCAGCACCAUCCCACAGCCUCUCCAAUUUGCUCCUAUCAAAUUUCAUCAGCGACUCAGAACUUGAUCUUUCUAUUGAUUGACUGGAGUCACCUCUAGAUAUUUUCAUGCUGAUUUGGAAGCCCUUUCGUAUGAUAAAAGGGGGAAAAAAUGAGGUCAAGGAAGACUUUUGACCACUGAGCAGCAAUCCCAGCCAAAACUUUCCCAAGCAAGUCAUUUGCAAAGUUGGCUUCUGAGCUAAGAGAAACUUUCCACAGCCGAACGCAACGUGGGAUCACUCCUGUCCUCACCCUGGCCUCCUAAACUGGACCAUCUGUAAAUGAGGAGUUUCCAUGCUGAGCCUGAGAGCAUCCCCUAGCCCAGCAGCCACCUCCCCCUGGACUCCUGGCACAUCCCCAGCCCAGGGCCCCCGUGCUCGGCCGCAGCUGCCAUGCUGUACCUGCUGGCUCUCCUCCUGCACCGUCUCCCCUUGGCCAUGGGACAGUAUGACAUUUGCAAGUCCUGGGUGACCACCGACGAUGGCCCGUCAUGGGAGUUCUACGCGUGUCAGCCCAAGGCCAUGAGGAUGAAGGAUUACGUGACGGUCAGAGUGGAUCCAGCAGGAAUCACGUGUGGGGACCCUCCGGAGAGGUUCUGCACUCAUGAGAAUCCGUACCUGUGCAGUGAUGAGUGCGAUGCCUCCAACCCAGACCUGGCCCACCCGCCAAAGCUCAUGUUCGACAGCGAGGAUGAGGGGCUGGCCACGUACUGGCAGAGCGUGACAUGGCGCCGGUACCCAGAGCCGCUGCUGGCCAACAUCACUCUGUCCUGGAACAAGAGCAUCGAGCUGACGGACGACAUCGUGAUCACCUUUGAGUACGGCCGUCCCACCAUCAUGAUGUUGGAGAAGUCGCUGGACAACGGGAGGACUUGGCACCCGUACCAGUAUUACGCAGAUGACUGCAUGGAGGCCUUCAGCAUGCCAGCACGGAGGGUCCGGGACCUCUCCACCACCAGUGCCAACAGGGUCCUCUGCACGGAGGAGUAUUCCCGCUGGGCGGGCUCCAAAAAGGAGAAGACCGUCCGCUUCGAGGUGAGGGACCGCUUCGCCAUCUUCGCUGGCCCUGACCUCAAGAACAUGGACAACUUGUACACCCGGAUGGAGAGCGCCAAGGGACUCAAGGACUUCUUCACCGUGACUGACCUGAGGAUGAGGCUGCUGCGACCGGCGCUGGGGGGCACCUACGUGCAGAGGGAGAACCUCUACAAGUACUUCUACGCCGUCUCCAACAUCGAAGUCACCGGCAGGUGCAAAUGCAACCUCCACGCUAACUUGUGCACCUUCAAGGAGGGCAGCCUCCAGUGUGAGUGCGAGCACAACACCACGGGGCAGGACUGCGGCAAGUGCAAGAAGAACUUUCGCUCCAGGUCUUGGCGAGCAGGAUCCUACCUGCCUCUCCCCAACGGGUCCCCCAAUGCAUGUGCAGCUGCAGGCUCAGCCUUUGGCACGUUUGAGCGACCGCCGCGGGUUAGCACCACCAAAACCACCACCGCCAAAACCACCACCACCAGCACCAGCACCACACCCACCACCACCAGCACCCCCCUUCCUGCCUCCACCACCACCCAGCCAGCAAGCAUCAUCAGACCUGCCUCUGAGCCCGCUGCCUCUGCGCCCAUGAAAGAGAUGCAGAAAAAAACAGGCUACCCCGGCCUGUCGGCGGCCGCCCCGCUGCAGGUGGGCUCUCCCCCAGCCAAGGCUGGGGCAGCAGAAGGUAGGAGACGCGUGGCUGAGCCGGGUCCUGCCAGCGAAUCCCUGCUCCCACUGCUUUUGUCUGUAGCUCUGCAGAUCUGCUUUCCAUGCAUCUCUCUCUUCCUCCCACCUGGGAAAAGCUGGGGGUUCAUCUGUGCCCUACAUGCAGCUGGUAAUCUGGUGAGGCUGGAUUGAGCCUCAGGGUUUAGUCGCAUACAUGAAAGAUGAGGAUGAUAAGUGGUAGAAGAGAUUGUUCUCGGCUUGCUGCUGGGGUGAACAGAGAGGAUCAUGGAAAUCCUGUUGUCUCCUGAGACCAGAAUAACUUUGUAAACAGAUAGGCUUGUGUCGUUUAUAGCAUAGAUGCCUUCUUACAUACUUCCUUGCUUCAGGUCUCUCAUGUGUCUGCCUGCAGUGAGCUAUGAAGCUCCUGGUGGGAGCCCUGGGAGCCUGUUGGGGCUGAAGUCUCUCCUCCUCGGGGCUCCCACUGGUACACAUGCUUCAGCAGCUCCUGGAGGUGCUCACUGCCCUUCUCCAGCUGAGACGCCUGUAGCUAUCUCCCCUGUAGACAUCAGCAUCCCUUCCAGUGCAGAAUGUAACACCAGCUGAAGCUGGGCCAGGACACCGCCCAGCAUCUGCUAAUAGUCAAUGGAGGACAGAAAGUGCUGGAAUUCAGGCUCGUUUGAACUACUGUGCUUUUGGGCUUGUCUCUAACCUCACAGAGAGAAAAGAUUGUAUUUGAAAUAGUAACAAGAGAUAGGCCAAGACCACUUGCAUCAAUGCCAGGUGAUGCUGACAGUCUGUACUGAACAAUGGGGACUUCUGUGUCUUGGCAGUGGUUUGAUUCUCUCCAUCCUCCAUGCAAUGCAAUGACCACAUGUCAACACUCAUCUGUCGAGCAGCUCCCCUUAGGACUAGUUUCGCUCUCUAUACUAGAAGACCAAUUUCCAGGAGACUUUGUCUCCCAUAUGUACCCCAGUGUAUUCUCAACCACACAUGGCUCUACCAACCCACCCUAGAUACCUGAAUAGAACUUCCAGUGUCCUUUUCUCACCUUUUUAAACAAGCAAGUGCAAGAUCUGUAUUAAAUCUGAUGUUCUCUCUAACUGAUGCCAACUUAAGCUGUUCAGAGCCCAACAAAAGUAGCAGCACCUGAACCCAAGCUGAAGCCACCAGACCCUCCCAAGAACAUUCGAGGUAAGGCCCUUUCCCAAAGAUGGAGCAGGACUGUUUUCUCCCCCACUGCCCAUAGGCUGGGGACAACAUACCCGUCCUCAGCAUGCCCCACCAUCGUGCAAUCCAUUCUCCUACUCAUAGCUGAGAUCAGCUCAGUUCUGCUCAUUCCACCCCAUGGAAGUCUUUCUAAAGGCUCUUUUGGGUUGGCAGACGUGGAUGGUUGGGACAGACCAGAGGAACCAGGAGACAGUUUCCCCAGCCACCAUUCCUUGAGAGACCAUUUGCCUUUUCCAUACCUAGAGAACGGGGAAGAUACACUGGGGGUCCAACGAGCACCAACUGGACCAGGGGCAGCCACUAAUCCUGGUGGAUCAGCCACCACCCAGCCCAGCAUGGCAGGCAUGGGGGCUCUGUAUCUCAGCAUUCAGAUAUAUUUUAUCAUCUCGUGUAGCAGCUCCGAAGAGCAAAGCAGGGCGCACAGCACACUCUGCAGGCAAGAGGCAUGGGAAGAAGUCAGGUAGGUGCUGGGAUGGGCAAGCGGGCUGGAGCAGCAUGGGUUCUGCAGGAUUCUGUGCUUUAUACCACCUCCGUAGCUUUUGUGCUCUUAGCUGUGGUCCUAGCUGCUUUUUGAGGGUGGCGAGGGGGUGUCGGCAUGGCCAUCAUCAAAUCAAGGCCACAGACAGGAGCUCUUGAGGCCUGUAGAUCCUCAGCCUGGCCAAGGCAAUCCCGUGUGUAACGAGGCGAUGCGUGGAUGGCUCCUUCUGCCCAGCACUCAGCUCUGUGCAUUGCAAUAUUGCAGUGCAUGGAAUUUUUCAUGCAUCAAACUUUGGGGAGGGGAGAAGAAGAGGAGAAAUUUAGCAGCUACCAGCUGUCUGGUGCAGAAAUAGCUUUCAGCGCUGCCAGCGCGGUGUUCCUGACUUGGCUCGUCAUUGUUCUCAUAGCAGAGAUGCUCGCGGUAGUGUAGGACGCAAAGUGGCGCGGAGCAGCAAGAAAAAGCCUGUCUCUGAUUUUUCUUAAGCAUCCUCAAAGAUCUCAAAACUCAUCCGGCUCCAACCAGACAGCGGCCCAGUGGCUCCUAUUGAAACAUAUAAAGACUGUGAGUGCUAUGGCCACUCCAACCGCUGCAGCUACAUUGACUUCCUGAAC
Numida meleagris (helmeted guineafowl) is the source of this 4924-nucleotide RNA transcript. It is a transcript of the gene named netrin G2, with no coding region annotated. NCBI's taxonomy places the organism in Eukaryota, Metazoa, Chordata, Aves, Galliformes, Numididae. The transcript is spliced from 9 exons. The record is from RefSeq and is a predicted model, not a curated record.